Molecule: ribosomal RNA, 468 nt
Filed under: uncultured bacterium
Lineage: Bacteria
Description: partial 16S ribosomal RNA
Rfam family: Bacterial small subunit ribosomal RNA
Source: RNAcentral
GACGAACGCUGGCGGCGUGCUUAACACAUGCAAGUCGAACGGAAAGGCCCUGCUUUUGUGGGGUGCUCGAGUGGCGAAAGGGUGAGUAACACGUGAGUAACCUGCCCUUGACUUUGGGAUAACUUCAGGAAACUGGGGCUAAUACCGGAUAGGAGCUCCUGCUGCAUGGUGGGGUUUGGAAAGUUUCGGCGGUUGGGGAUGGACUCGCGGCUUAUCAGCUUGUUGGUGGGGUGGUGGCUUACCAAGGCUUUGACGGGUAGCCGGCCUGAGAGGGUGACCGGCCACAUUGGGACUGAGAUACGGCCCAGACUCCUACGGGAGGCAGCAGUGGGGAAUAUUGCACAAUGGGCGGAAGCCUGAUGCAGCAACGCCGCGUGCGGGAUGACGGCCUUCGGGUUGUAAACCGCUUUCGCCUGUGACGAAGCGUGAGUGACGGUAAUGGGUAAAGAAGCACCGGCUAACUACGUG